GCCGGGGUGGUGGAAUUGGUAGACACGUAUGGUUGAGGGCCAUAUGAGUAUUUAAACUCGUGCGGGUUCAAGUCCCGCCCCCGGCACCA
This 89-nucleotide transfer RNA is filed under the name Petrotoga sp. 9PW.55.5.1. RNAcentral describes it as "tRNA-Leu". It matches the Rfam family "tRNA". Rfam says of the family: Transfer RNA (tRNA) molecules are approximately 80 nucleotides in length. Lineage: Bacteria; Thermotogati; Thermotogota; Thermotogae; Petrotogales; Petrotogaceae. RNAcentral also lists the same sequence under 1 other name. The record is from RNAcentral.